Molecule: ribosomal RNA, 245 nt
Filed under: uncultured bacterium
Lineage: Bacteria
Description: partial 16S ribosomal RNA
Rfam family: Bacterial small subunit ribosomal RNA
Source: RNAcentral
AGUAACGCGUGAGCAAUCUGCCUUUGGAUGGGGGAUAACAGCCGGAAACGGCUGCUAAUACCGCAUAAUGCAACGGGACCGCAUGGUUCUGCUGCCAAAGAUUUAUUGUCCAAAGAUGAGCUCACGUCUGAUUAGCCAGUUGGCGGGGUAACGGCCCACCAAAGCGACGAUCAGUAGCCGGACUGAGAGGUUGAACGGCCACAUUGGGACUGAGACACGGCCCAGACUCCUACGGGAGGCAGCAG